Molecule: transfer RNA, 62 nt
Filed under: Fukomys damarensis (Damara mole-rat)
Lineage: Eukaryota; Metazoa; Chordata; Mammalia; Rodentia; Bathyergidae
Rfam family: tRNA
About the family: Transfer RNA (tRNA) molecules are approximately 80 nucleotides in length. Their secondary structure includes four short double-helical elements and three loops (D, anti-codon, and T loops). Further hydrogen bonds mediate the characteristic L-shaped molecular structure. tRNAs have two regions of fundamental functional importance: the anti-codon, which is responsible for specific mRNA codon recognition, and the 3' end, to which the tRNAs corresponding amino acid is attached (by aminoacyl-tRNA synthetases). tRNAs cope with the degeneracy of the genetic code in two manners: having more than one tRNA (with a specific anti-codon) for a particular amino acid; and 'wobble' base-pairing, i.e. permitting non-standard base-pairing at the 3rd anti-codon position.
Source: Rfam by way of RNAcentral
UAUAAUUCAAUGGUAGAGUGCUUGCCUGGCAAUGUGAGAAGCUCUGGGUUCAAUUCCCAGUA